GCCCUUUUUAUGUUGUACUACUAGUGGUCACACACAAAAAAAGCAGUGCAAUGUUAAAAGGGCAU
RNAcentral lists this microRNA precursor (65 nucleotides) under Xenopus laevis (African clawed frog). RNAcentral's name for it is "Xla-Mir-130-P1b3_pre stem-loop". Lineage: Eukaryota; Metazoa; Chordata; Amphibia; Anura; Pipidae. RNAcentral also lists the same sequence under 1 other name. The record is from RNAcentral.